UGGGGAAUAUUGCACAAUGGGCGCAAGCCUGAUGCAGCAACGCCGCGUGAGGGACGAUGGCCUUCGGGUUGUAAACCUCUUUUAGUAGGGAAGAAGCGAAAGUGACGGUACCUGCAGAAAAACGCACCGGCUAACUACGUGCCAGCAGCCGCGGUAAUACGUAGGGUGCGAGCGUUGUCCGGAAUUAUUGGGCGUAAAGAGCUCGUAGGCGGUCUGUCGCGUCUGCUGUGAAAAUCCCCGAGGCUCAACCUCGGGCCUGCAGUGGGUACGGGCAGACUAGAGUGCGGUAGGGGAGAAUGGAAUUCCUGGUGUAGCGGUGGAAUGCGCAGAUAUCAGGAGGAACACCGAUGGCGAAGGCAGUUCUCUGGGCCGUAACUGACGCUGAGGAGCGAAACGCGUGGGGAGCGAACAGGAUUAGAUACCCUGGUAGUCCACGCCGUAAACGUUGGGCGCUAGAUGUGGGGCACCAUUCCACGGUUU
Molecule: ribosomal RNA, 480 nt
Filed under: uncultured bacterium
Lineage: Bacteria
Description: partial 16S ribosomal RNA
Rfam family: Bacterial small subunit ribosomal RNA
Source: RNAcentral